Long non-coding RNA from Polyodon spathula (Mississippi paddlefish), 597 nucleotides. RefSeq lists it as uncharacterized. The record is from RefSeq and is a predicted model, not a curated record. NCBI's taxonomy places the organism in Eukaryota, Metazoa, Chordata, Actinopteri, Acipenseriformes, Polyodontidae. The transcript is spliced from 4 exons.
UGUUUACAUUAGGCAUAUCAAAAUUCAAACUGAGUGCAUGUCAUUGGCAGACCACGAUGUGCAGCAGUAGAAUAAAGGUUUUUGUACACAGUGUACAGUGUGGCUGGAUUAGAUCUGACAGGACUGAGUACUCCAUUAUCAGGAAACCUUGACAUCCACAAAGAGCUGGAAGACCAGAUGGCAGUUUCUUUCAGUAGAACAUUCUAUGACAUUUGGAAUGGGCUUUGCAAUAAACUCCAUGAACAUUCCAGCACUAGUUGGCAAGGUUGUUAAACAUCCAGUCAAUACAUUGAGACCUAUAUGGAAGGACAGAUACAACCAGACAGUGCAAUCCUACAAUACGUCAAUUAGAUGGUUCUUUCUGCCUCAUUACUCCACUGCUCCACUCGCUCCACUGGCUCCCGAUCACCACUCGCAUCCAGUUCAAGACUCUUGUACUCACCUACCGAUGCCUUGACCAGAAUGCACCCGGCUACCUCCAGAUCCUCCAUCUCUCCCUACACCUCUCCACUCUGCCUGCAAUAGAAGACUGGCUGUACUUCCUCUAUACUCCCCUGCCUCCAGAGCCUGCUCUCUCUCCACCCUCGCCCCGCAGUG